RNAcentral lists this ribosomal RNA (497 nucleotides) under uncultured bacterium. RNAcentral's name for it is "partial 16S ribosomal RNA". It matches the Rfam family "Bacterial small subunit ribosomal RNA", at positions 28 to 507 of the family's 1533-position model. The record is from RNAcentral.
GACGAACGCUGGCGGCGUGCCUAAUACAUGCAAGUUGAGCGCUGAAGGAUGGUACUUGUACCAACUGGAUGAGCAGCGAACGGGUGAGUAACGCGUGGGGAAUCUGCCUUUGAGCGGGGGACAACAUUUGGAAACGAAUGCUAAUACCGCAUAAAAACUUUAAACACAAGUUUUAAGUUUGAAAGAUGCAAUUGCCUCACUCAAAGAUGAUCCCGCGUUGUAUUAGCUAGUUGGUGAGGUAAAGGCCCACCAAGGCGAUGAUACAUAGCCGACCUGAGAGGGUGAUCGGGCACAUUGGGACUGAGACACGGCCCAAGCUCCUACGGGGGGCAGCAGUAGGGAAUCUUCGGACAUGGACGAAAGUCUUACCGCGCAACGCCGCGUGAGUGAAGAAGGUUUUCCGAUCGUAAAACUCUGUUGGUAGAGAAGAACGUUGGUGAGGGUGGAAAGCUCAUCAAGUGACGGUAACUACACAGAAAGGGACGGCUAACUACGUG